CUGGGAGGACCAUCUCCUAAGGCUAAAUACUCUCUAGUGACCGAUAGUGAACCAGUACCGUGAGGGAAAGGUGAAAAGCACCCCGGAAGGGGAGUGAAAUAGAACCUGAAACCGUGUGCUUACAAGUAGUCAGAGCCCGUUAAUGGGUGAUGGCGUGCCUUUUGUAGAAUGAACCGGCGAGUUACGAUUUGAUGCAAGGUUAAGCAGUAAAUGUGGAGCCGUAGCGAAAGCGAGUCUGAAUAGGGCGUUUAGUAUUUGGUCGUAGACCCGAAACCAGGUGAUCUACCCUUGGUCAGGUUGAAGUUCAGGUAACACUGAAUGGAGGACCGAACCGACUUACGUUGAAAAGUGAGCGGAUGAACUGAGGGUAGCGGAGAAAUUCCAAUCGAACCUGGAGAUAGCUGGUUCUCUCCGAAAUAGCUUUAGGGCUAGCCUCAAGUGAUGAUUAUUGGAGGUAGAGCACUGUUUGGACGAGGGGCCCCUCUCGGGUUACCGAAUUCAGACAAACUCCGAAUGCCAAUUAAUUUAACUUGGGAGUCAGAACAUGGGUGAUAAGGUCCGUGUUCGAAAGGGAAACAGCCCAGACCACCAGCUAAGGUCCCAAAAUAUAUGUUAAGUGGAAAAGGAUGUGGCGUUGCCCAGACAACUAGGAUGUUGGCUUAGAAGCAGCCAUCAUUUAAAGAGUGCGUAAUAGCUCACUAGUCGAGUGACACUGCGCCGAAAAUGUACCGGGGCUAAACAUAUUACCGAAGCUGUGGAUUGUCCUUUGGACAAUGGUAGGAGAGCGUUCUAAGGGCGUUGAAGCAUGAUCGUAAGGACAUGUGGAGCGCUUAGAAGUGAGAAUGCCGGUGUGAGUAGCGAAAGACGGGUGAGAAUCCCGUCCACCGAUUGACUAAGGUUUCCAGAGGAAGGCUCGUCCGCUCUGGGUUAGUCGGGUCCUAAGCUGAGGCCGACAGGCGUAGGCGAUGGAUAACAGGUUGAUAUUCCUGUACCACCUAUAAUCGUUUUAAUCGAUGGGGGGACGCAGUAGGAUAGGCGAAGCGUGCGAUUGGAUUGCACGUCUAAGCAGUAAGGCUGAGUAUUAGGCAAAUCCGGUACUCGUUAAGGCUGAGCUGUGAUGGGGAGAAGACAUUGUGUCUUCGAGUCGUUGAUUUCACA
This 1158-nucleotide ribosomal RNA is filed under the name Staphylococcus aureus. Its description in RNAcentral is "partial 23S ribosomal RNA". It matches the Rfam family "Bacterial large subunit ribosomal RNA", at positions 444 to 1604 of the family's 2925-position model. Lineage: Bacteria; Bacillati; Bacillota; Bacilli; Caryophanales; Staphylococcaceae. The record is from RNAcentral.